RNAcentral lists this non-coding RNA (96 nucleotides) under Nocardia terpenica. Its description in RNAcentral is "Glycine sequence". It matches the Rfam family "Glycine riboswitch aptamer". Rfam says of the family: This family represents the bacterial glycine riboswitch. Glycine riboswitches usually consist of two metabolite-binding aptamers domains with similar structures in tandem. The record is from Rfam by way of RNAcentral. Lineage: Bacteria; Bacillati; Actinomycetota; Actinomycetes; Mycobacteriales; Nocardiaceae.
CGCCGCCGUGCGGGAGAGCUCCGGGUUCCGGCCCGGGCGCCGAAGGAGCAGCACCUCCCCGUCAAUCUCUCAGGCACCAGGGACCGUACGGACACU